UCCAAAUCCUUGUUUCACAUUGAAUGUUUUUAAAAUGAAUUUGAAAUUCAGUAUCUAUUCACCAUGACCUAAGAGUAUACAGAGGAAACAGUUAGAAAUGACCAGUUGAGGGUAGGGUGUUUAAUUGAGAAGUCAGCACACACUGGCAGCUCUUAAACCAAAUAUUGGCUCGUUUAACUUGAAACUUUCCAAGUUCUUCGAUUUGAUUUGUCUAAUGGAACAAAUUGAUGUUACCUUGAAGUGGUAUGAGGACCUGAUACCUUCAGCCUACUUUCCCCACUCCCAAACAAUGAUACAUCUUCUCCAAGCGUUGGAUGUGGCCAAUCGGCUAGAAGUGAUUCCUAAAAUUUGGAAAGAUAGUAAAGAAUAUGGUCAUACUUUCCGCAGUGACCUGAGAGAAGAGAUCCUGAUGCUCAUGGCAAGGGACAAGCACCCACCAGAGCUUCAGGUGGCAUUUGCUGACUGUGCUGCUGAUAUCAAAUCUGCGUAUGAAAGCCAACUCAUCAGACAGACUGCUCAGGAUUGGCCAGCCACCUCUCU
This 540-nucleotide small RNA is filed under the name Pan troglodytes (chimpanzee). Its description in RNAcentral is "processed transcript". Lineage: Eukaryota; Metazoa; Chordata; Mammalia; Primates; Hominidae. The record is from RNAcentral.